RNAcentral lists this ribosomal RNA (207 nucleotides) under uncultured bacterium. RNAcentral describes it as "partial 16S ribosomal RNA". It matches the Rfam family "Bacterial small subunit ribosomal RNA", at positions 568 to 774 of the family's 1533-position model. The record is from RNAcentral.
AGCGUAGACGGUGUGGCAAGUCUGAUGUGAAAGGCAUGGGCUCAACCUGUGGACUGCAUUGGAAACUGUCAUACUUGAGUGCCGGAGGGGUAAGCGGAAUUCCUAGUGUAGCGGUGAAAUGCGUAGAUAUUAGGAGGAACACCAGUGGCGAAGGCGGCUCUCUGGCCUGUAACUGACACUGAGGCUCGAAAGGCGUGGGAGCAAACA